This 465-nucleotide ribosomal RNA is filed under the name Vreelandella stevensii. RNAcentral describes it as "partial 16S ribosomal RNA". It matches the Rfam family "Bacterial small subunit ribosomal RNA", at positions 338 to 795 of the family's 1533-position model. Lineage: Bacteria; Pseudomonadati; Pseudomonadota; Gammaproteobacteria; Oceanospirillales; Halomonadaceae. The record is from RNAcentral.
CCUACGGGCGGCAGCAGUGGGGAAUAUUGGACAAUGGGGGCAACCCUGAUCCAGCCAUGCCGCGUGUGUGAAGAAGGCCCUCGGGUUGUAAAGCACUUUCAGUGAGGAAGAACGCCUGGUGGUUAAUACCCAUCAGGAAAGACAUCACUCACAGAAGAAGCACCGGCUAACUCCGUGCCAGCAGCCGCGGUAAUACGGAGGGGGCGAGCGUUAAUCGGAAUUACUGGGCGUAAAGCGCGCGUAGGUGGCUUGAUAAGCCGGUUGUGAAAGCCCCGGGCUCAACCUGGGAACGGCAUCCGGAACUGUCAAGCUAGAGUGCAGGAGAGGAAGGUAGAAUUCCCGGUGUAGCGGUGAAAUGCGUAGAGAUCGGGAGGAAUACCAGUGGCGAAGGCGGCCUUCUGGACUGACACUGACACUGAGGUGCGAAAGCGUGGGUAGCAAACAGGAUUAGAUACCCGAGUAGUC